AUUGAACGCUGGCGGCAUGCCUUACACAUGCAAGUCGAACGGCAGCACGGGAGCUUGCUCCUGGUGGCGAGUGGCGAACGGGUGAGUAAUACAUCGGAACGUACCCUGAAGUGGGGGAUAACGUAGCGAAAGUUACGCUAAUACCGCAUAUUCUGUGAGCAGGAAAGAGGGGGAUCGCAAGACCUCUUGCUUUAGGAGCGGCCGAUGUCGGAUUAGCUAGUUGGUGAGGUAAAGGCUCACCAAGGCGACGAUCCGUAGCGGGUCUGAGAGGAUGAUCCGCCACACUGGGACUGAGACACGGCCCAGACUCCUACGGGAGGCAGCAGUGGGGAAUUUUGGACAAUGGGCGCAAGCCUGAUCCAGCCAUGCCGCGUGAGUGAAGAAGGGCCUU
Molecule: ribosomal RNA, 391 nt
Filed under: uncultured bacterium
Lineage: Bacteria
Description: bacterial SSU rRNA
Rfam family: Bacterial small subunit ribosomal RNA
Source: RNAcentral